Molecule: long non-coding RNA, 101 nt
Organism: Melanotaenia boesemani (Boeseman's rainbowfish)
Lineage: Eukaryota; Metazoa; Chordata; Actinopteri; Atheriniformes; Melanotaeniidae
Exons: 3
Source: RefSeq, a predicted model, not a curated record
CAUAAUUUAAAGACACCUGGUUAAAACCAAGGUAUGCAAAACACCAUCUCUGAACACAUAACACAUCCAACCUUGAAGCAGAUGGGCUACAGGAUCAGGAG